Molecule: long non-coding RNA, 556 nt
Filed under: Rattus norvegicus (Norway rat)
Lineage: Eukaryota; Metazoa; Chordata; Mammalia; Rodentia; Muridae
Description: long non-coding RNA NONRATT006230
Source: RNAcentral
GUCUAUCACCCCUGAAUAUCUCAGGCUUUAAGGGAAUCGGGAGGAAAUGAGAGCAACAAAAAGCAAACGGAAAGGGAAAAAAAUGACGGUGAGCCAGAGCGAAGACUCAGCUUGCAAAGUGCUGCCACGGAACGCAAGUAUCUGCACCCAGAUGUGAUUUAGAAACAGGCUCGGCUACUCCUGCAGCCCCCAGGGGUUGACCCUGAUUGACAUGGAUCCGUCAUAGCUGACACUGUACUCCCUGCUAAUGAUGAAGCCUAGAGAACAAACCUGUGAUCCACUUCUCCCUGGCACGACACCAGCAGAAGACCCAUGGGACUGCUGCAGAGUGAGUCUCUGGUCUUAAGCAAACACAGAAUGAGGUGGCCCCUUCUGUGCCUCUGGCAGCUAUCACAUCUGGAGGUGACUUGAAUCUGCCACAGCCUUUCCCCAACCACAAGGAAAAGAAGCUUUAGAGAGAAGCCUCACUGGCAGUGACAAGAAUGGAGACACGGAAGGACACUGGGUUCUAAAAUUAGUCAGCCUUUCCCGUGGCAAUAAACAACCCCAAUGUGUU